This 241-nucleotide ribosomal RNA is filed under the name uncultured Staphylococcus sp. RNAcentral's name for it is "partial 16S ribosomal RNA". It matches the Rfam family "Bacterial small subunit ribosomal RNA", at positions 99 to 334 of the family's 1533-position model. The record is from RNAcentral. Lineage: Bacteria; Bacillati; Bacillota; Bacilli; Caryophanales; Staphylococcaceae.
CGGACGGGUGAGUAACACGUGGAUAACCUACCUAUAAGACUGGGAUAACUUCGGUAAACCGGAGCUAAUACCUGAUAAUAUAUUGAACCGCAUGGUUCAAUAGUGAAAGACGGUUUUGCUGUCACUUAUAGAUGGAUCCGCGCCGCAUUAGCUAGUUGGUAAGGUAACGGCUUACCAAGGCAACGAUGCGUAGCCGACCUGAGAGGGUGAUUGGCCACACUGGAACUGAGACACGGUCCAG